CCAGCAGUUCGGCUGGGCACUCUAAAGGGACUGCCGGUGUUAAACCGGAGGAAGGUGGGGAUGACGUCAAGUCCUCAUGGCCUUUAUGACCAGGGCUACACACGUACUACAAUGGCCGAUACAAAGGGCAGCGACACUGCGAGGUGAAGCCAAUCCCGUAAAAUACGGUCUCAGUCCGGAUUGGAGUCUGCAACUCGACUCCAUGAAGUUGGAAUCGCUAGUAAUCGUGGAUCAGCAUGCCACGGUGAAUACGUUCCCGGGCCUU
Molecule: ribosomal RNA, 265 nt
Filed under: uncultured Desulfobulbus sp.
Lineage: Bacteria; Pseudomonadati; Thermodesulfobacteriota; Desulfobulbia; Desulfobulbales; Desulfobulbaceae
Description: partial 16S ribosomal RNA
Rfam family: Bacterial small subunit ribosomal RNA
Source: RNAcentral